Molecule: ribosomal RNA, 693 nt
Filed under: uncultured Actinomycetes bacterium
Lineage: Bacteria; Bacillati; Actinomycetota; Actinomycetes
Description: bacterial SSU rRNA
Rfam family: Bacterial small subunit ribosomal RNA
Source: RNAcentral
UGGCGGCGUGCUUAACACAUGCAAGUCGAACGGUGAACCCAGCUUGCUGGGUGGAUCAGUGGCGAACGGGUGAGUAACACGUGAGCAAUCUGCCCCUGACUCUGGGAUAAGCGCUGGAAACGGCGUCUAAUACUGGAUACGAACAGCGACCGCAUGGUCAGUUGUUGGAAAGAAUUUCGGUCAGGGAUGAGCUCGCGGCCUAUCAGCUUGUUGGUGAGGUAAUGGCUCACCAAGGCGUCGACGGGUAGCCGGCCUGAGAGGGUGACCGGCCACACUGGGACUGAGACACGGCCCAGACUCCUACGGGAGGCAGCAGUGGGGAAUAUUGCACAAUGGGCGCAAGCCUGAUGCAGCAACGCCGCGUGAGGGACGACGGCCUUCGGGUUGUAAACCUCUUUUAGCAGGGAAGAAGCGAAAGUGACGGUACCUGCAGAAAAAGCGCCGGCUAACUACGUGCCAGCAGCCGCGGUAAUACGUAGGGCGCAAGCGUUAUCCGGAAUUAUUGGGCGUAAAGAGCUCGUAGGCGGUUUGUCGCGUCUGCUGUGAAAUCCCGAGGCUCAACCUCGGGUCUGCAGUGGGUACGGGCAGACUAGAGUGCGGUAGGGGAGAUUGGAAUUCCUGGUGUAGCGGUGGAAUGCGCAGAUAUCAGGAGGAACACCGAUGGCGAAGGCAGAUCUCUGGGCCGUAACUGAC